This is an RNA transcript of Podarcis muralis (Common wall lizard), 3389 nucleotides long. It is a transcript of the gene named protein kinase AMP-activated non-catalytic subunit gamma 2, with no coding region annotated. Lineage: Eukaryota; Metazoa; Chordata; Lepidosauria; Squamata; Lacertidae. The record is from RefSeq and is a predicted model, not a curated record.
GAGCUUGGCGACUGCCUUCCCCGGCUGGGUUUCCUUGCUCGCUCGCGCGCGCUCCUUUCGCUUGGAUCUUGUGCAAGCAGCUGUCAGAAAGCGUCCUCGCUUGCAGAGCGCGAAACGGGAACCGCAAGCAGUGCUGGGUGAUCUGCUCACCUCCCUCCCUCCCUCUCCGGGUCACUUGUGUUUGCAAACUGCAGCCGCCUGCCUGCCUGAGAGUCUUGUUUUGCAGCGCGAAAGGAAACCAGCUCUUCAACGCGAAUUGCAUCUCUUCCUCCUCCUCCGUAGUGGUGGCUGGCGCUGGGGCGGACCUGGGCACUGGAGCCCAGACUUGGCACUACAGAGCAGAGGGGGGGGGGCUGCUUUUCUGCAAAACAGCCUCCGCAUUCAGAUUAAUCUGCGCGAUUACUCUCAAUUGUGUUGGGUGCACCUCCUUGCUUUCGCCCUCCGGGCACGCUGACUCAGAGGACAUGCCCAUCUCCUGCUGCGCAGGGGGAAGGAAACUUUUGCAGCCGCCCAGAAGCGCGGGCUGCUUCUGAAUCGGCCCAGGAGUUCCCUGCUGCAGCCUGAGCUUUUCACCCACCUUGGCUAGCUCUCUCGCCGCCUUCCAACCACUGCGCUUUUUUCCUGCACGAUGCGAGGCGCCUUCUUCCGCCUCUCGUUCCCAGACCCAUCCCGUGCCCUUGAGGACCCGGAGCAGCCGCUGUGGUCGUAACACCCCCCUCCCUCCAAGCUUGAGACGUCCCUCUUUACAGCCAAAGGCUCUGGAAAAACAACGCAAUAUAAAACGAGGAGCUCAAACGACCCAUCACUUGGCACGGAGGAGCUUGGAGAGGGUUAGCCGAAGAGCCUGGCUGGAGGAGAGACCUGGCCGGGCCGGUUCCCGCGGGCCUCUCCUCCGACCUUCCCGUCGGAAGGGACAUCGGAGAGAUGGGAAGCACCGCUAUGGACACCAAGAAGAAAGAUGCAGCGCCCGGUGGCAAGAAGAGCAGCGGCCAGAAGAAGCGCCUUCUGCGAGUCCACAUCCCAGAUCUCAGCUCAUUUGCCAUGCCAUUCUUGGAUGGAGACGUGGACAGUGCAGAGAAGCAUGCUUCACGGAAGGCGGAAGACAGCUACAACACAGGGAGUCCUUCCAAAGGACUUUUCCCAAAGGGGCUCCAGAACCGGCCUUCCAGCCCAGCCUCUGCCCCCGUCAAAUCCAAGCACAGUCCCGGCUCGCCCAAAACAGUGUUCCCCUUCCCCUACCAGGAGUCUCCCCCUCGCUCCCCUCGGCGCAUGAGCUUCAGCGGCAUCUUCCGGUCGUCUUCCAAAGACUCUUCCUCUCCUAGCUCCAACGCAUCCACUUCUCCCGGGGGCAUAAAGUUCUUCUCCAGAUCAAGAAAAACCUCUGGUCUUUCCUCCUCUCCCUCGACCCCGACACAAGUGAUCAAGCAGCCAACGUUUCCGCUUGAAUCCUACAAACAUGAACCAGAAAGGCUAGAAACACGGAUUCACACGUCCUCUUCCCCCCCAGAUACAGGCCAGAGACCAAGCCUUCCUCCUGGACAAAGUGUGGCCAAACCUCCCACUUCCACCCCGUGCGCUACCUCAAAAGCCGCAGCUCCUCCUCAGUCCCCGGCCGCCUCCGAAGGGAUGCUGGAGAAACUGGAGCUCGAGGAUGAAGCUGUUGGCGAAUCAGAAAGUGAUAUCUACAUGCGAUUCAUGAGGUCACAUAAGUGUUAUGAUAUUGUUCCAACAAGCUCAAAGCUUGUGGUCUUUGACACUACACUACAGGUAAAGAAAGCUUUCUUUGCCUUGGUAGCAAAUGGUGUCCGAGCAGCUCCUCUGUGGGAGAGUAAAAAACAAAGCUUUGUAGGAAUGUUAACUAUUACAGAUUUCAUUAAUAUACUGCAUAGAUACUAUAAGUCUCCAAUGGUACAAAUCUAUGAAUUGGAGGAGCACAAGAUUGAAACCUGGAGGGAGCUUUAUUUACAAGAAACCUUUAAGCCUUUAGUGAACAUUUCACCAGACGCCAGCCUUUUUGAUGCUGUAUAUUCACUGAUCAAAAACAGAAUCCACAGAUUGCCAGUUAUUGACCCAGUGAGCGGAAAUGCACUUUAUAUACUUACCCAUAAAAGAAUCCUCAAGUUUCUCCAGCUUUUUGUGUCAGAAAUGCCAAAGCCUGCCUUUAUGAAGCAAAAUCUGGAUGAACUUGGGAUAGGAACAUAUGACAACAUCGCCUUUAUACACCCAGACACUCCUAUCAUUAAAGCAUUGAAUAUAUUUGUAGAUAGAAGGAUAUCAGCACUACCUGUUGUGGAUGAGUCAGGAAAAGUUGUAGAUAUUUAUUCCAAAUUUGAUGUAAUAAAUCUUGCUGCUGAAAAAACUUAUAAUAACUUAGAUAUCACAGUGACACAAGCCCUACAACACCGCUCUCAGUAUUUUGAAGGUGUUGUGAAAUGCAGUAAGCUGGAAACACUGGAGACCAUCGUGGACCGGAUAGUUAAAGCUGAGGUGGGUAUGACUGUUCAAAUACAAGAGAAGAGGAGCUCUAAGUUACCUGGCCGGUGCAUCGAUUGGUGGUAGUGAAUGAAGCAGAUAGUAUUGUUGGUAUUAUCUCCCUCUCGGACAUCCUACAAGCUCUGGUGCUCUCACCAGCUGGUGCCAAACAAAAGGAAAGUGAAACUGAAUGAUUGCUGUGAACGUAUAAACCUUUGUAGAAGAACUUGAUUGAAGUUACUGGGUCAUCUUUGCCUCAAGAACACUGGCAGCACUAGAGAAGAGAGAAAUGGGGAUGAGUAUGUGUGUAUUGGGACUGAGUGUUGGGUAACUAGUCUAUUACUUCCCAGUGACUGUCACACACAAAAAGCAGCAUGACAAAAAGCUUAUGUAUUAAAUACAGGCUUGCAUUUCAAAAUGUUUGCUGAAAGACUUCACAUGAUGUCGUUCAUCUAAAAUGCACUGUAUCCUGAAACAAACAUCUUUUGUAUUUGAUAGAAGUCACUGCUCAGCAACAGAUCUCUGACAUAAGGCAAGUGUAUGGCAUAUUCAUAUCAUAGUGCCUUAUGUCAAAAAGCCAACAAUAUGUCAUCGCUGUUGCCCAUCACAAUAAGAGGAAGUAUUGUGUGAAACGAGACACUGUAUUUGAAUGUUCAAGUUGCUAAACCUAAAACCAAAUCAGUUUCAGUUAUCAUUAGAUUUGUCAUAAAAGCUGUAAUUUGAAUAUCAGUAGAUUACCUUAAGACUUUAAUGACAGUUUUGUGUGUUUAUAAAUGUUGCAUUCUGAAGAGAUGGUAAAACAAGACUGAUCUAAAACCAGCUUUAUUUAUUUUUAUUUUCUUGCAAUUUUUUACACAUCUUUGGUGGAUAGCUAAAACUUCACCAUAUUCAUUAAUAAAACAUUGAUUGUUAUAUAA